CGGUUAAAAAGCUCGUAGUUGGAUUUCUGUCCGAGGCAGCCGGUCCGCACUUAGUGCGUGUAUCUGGUUUGGCUAGGGCAUCCUCUUGGGGAACGUUUCUGUGCUUAAUUGCAUGGGGCGGAAUUCAAGACUUUUACUUUGAGGAAAUUAGAGUGUUCACGGCAAGCUAUCGCUUUGAAUACAUUAGCAUGGAAUAAUAAUAUAAGGCGUGAGUUCUAUUUUGUUGGUUUCUAGGACAUACGCAAUGAUUAAUAGGGACAAUUGGGGGCAUUCGUAUUAACGCGUCAGAGGUGGAAUUCUUAGAUUGCGUUACGACGAACUACUGCGAAAGCAUUUGCCAAGGAUGUUUUCAUUGAUCAAGAACGAAAGUAUGGGGAUCGAAGACGAUUAGAUACCGUCGUAGUCUAUACCAUAAACUAUGCCAAUUAGAGAUAGGUAGUCGUUCGUUUUAUGACUCUAUCUGCAUCUUAUGAGAAAUCAAAAUUUUUGGGUUCCGGGGGGAGUAUGGUCGCAACGCUGAAACUUAAAGGAAUUGACGGAAGGGCACCACCAGGAGUGGAGCCUGCGGCUUAAUUUGACUCAACACGGGAAAACUUACCAGGUCCAGACAUAGUAAGGAUUGA
This 623-nucleotide ribosomal RNA is filed under the name uncultured marine eukaryote. RNAcentral describes it as "SSU rRNA". It matches the Rfam family "Eukaryotic small subunit ribosomal RNA", at positions 616 to 1243 of the family's 1831-position model. The record is from RNAcentral.